Molecule: long non-coding RNA, 11138 nt
Organism: Rhincodon typus (whale shark)
Lineage: Eukaryota; Metazoa; Chordata; Chondrichthyes; Orectolobiformes; Rhincodontidae
Exons: 2
Source: RefSeq, a predicted model, not a curated record
CUGCUCCUCUGAUGCUGCUUGGCCUGCUGUGUUCAUCCAGCUCCACACCUUGUUAUCUUACAUCAUAUCUAAUUACUCAUAGGCCUCUCUGAAUCCCAACUUGAAACAGGACAGGUGCUUUUUCCGCACUGGCAGCUUAGUCCCAUCAGUGUUUCAGGCUCAUGGCUCUCACUGGGUGACUGGGUUGGGGACUCAUUUGUUGACACUGGGCAAGUGGCUACUGAACACCAUGACCCCUGUGGCUUCUGGCUUGGGAGUUCUCACAUUUCACCUCCUUUGGCUCUUUUUGUUCUUGGUUUGUACCCGGUGAUACUGUUUUUUUACUGUCCUCAGGAAAACUCCAGAAGCCAACAAAUGGAUGAUUUGUUUGACAUCCUCAUUGAAAGUGGAGAAAUUUCACUCAAUGCCAAGGACGUCUCCACAUCUUUAAACACGCCGUCUCCACAGAACGUUUCGCCCACGCUUGCUGUCUCUCCACCCCCAGUGGUAAAAGCACAGCUACCGUCACCUCAGUUGCUGCUGGAACCCAUCAACGAAAGUCAGUCCAUCGAUCGCGAGAGCCAGCUCGAGGACUUCCUUGUGAGCACCACCGGUGUGCCGCUGUUAUCGGUGGAUAAUGAUGGGACGGAACCCCUCUCCCUCAUCGAUGACCUACACAACCAAAUGCUGAGCAGCUCCAGUAUUCUCGAGCAUCCUCAUUCACCCAUGGACACUUCGGAUAUGCACUUCACUGCAGACAGCACCAGUCUGGCUCUGGACCUCACUGACACUAACUUGGACAACAUGGAGUGGCUGGACCUGACUAUGGGCAGCACCUCUGUGGGUCUUGCUCCUUUGAGCUCCGCAACCCCCAGUGUCUUUUCUACUGACUUUCUAGACAGCCAAGACCUGCAGCUACACUGGGAUUAACAUCAAGCAGCCAAAACAUUGAGGGUGAGCGUUUGCAAAAAUCCCCUGGUCAAUGUGGACCUUCGGUGCACGGAACCUGAUGAGGUUCAUUUCAGUGUGCGCUUUUCGCUGUCACUUUACUUGACCGGGAGAUACAUGUGCGCUGGGAAUGCAGGACCCUUGGCGAAACAUCCAGAGGAUUUUUCUCUGUUCCAAAGUCGCAGGCAAGAAUGGGCUGGAGCUCCUGACUCAACUCUGGGCCCAACCACCACUGCUGGGAAUCUACAACUGGAUGAGAUUCCCAACUUGAAGAUGAACCUGCUCGCUGACUGACCUGGGCAGCGUGGGUUUCUUUGAUGUUCAUGAGGCUUCAGAGCCUGGUCCUCAUGAAGCAGGAUCACACUCUCAGCACCCACCCAUUAUUUGAUUUCUACGUUGCCAAGGUUGUCUUUUUGCACUGACUGGGGAGGGUGGGAAUGUUUUUAAAAGGAAAAAAAAAUAAAUUAAAACCAAAACCCAAGGGUACACUAACUGAGCAGGCAUCAAAAUUAACUGACCCCUCCCCGCUCCCUUCCAUCCCAACCACAACCUGUUCAGGACAAGUCUGAAGGUUGUUGCCUGCAUCUGGGACAGAUACCUUGGUCCUCCACACAUUCUCUUUAACUUCGCAAAACAAGACCUGUGUUUGAGUGGCCCAGAUGUAACUGCAGUAUCACGACUUGUAAAGAAAUAGUUCCCUUCGUGUUCAGGAGCCUAGCAUUAUCUGUUUUAUUCUGAGGCGGGAGGUGGAAUUCAUCCCUGGGAGCAGCUCCUCACUAUCAUUGUGCCAUUCAUUCUUGAGUCGAACUUUGAACUGUUUCAUUGGAUUUAGGUGCUUGAGCUCUUGUGCACACCCCGACAUCAGCUACAGGUUCCCUAUCAGUUUCUAAAAUGCAGAGUCCAAAAUACAAAAUGAAACAAGUUAGGAUGCAUCCUGUUUGUUGAUUGUGAAACAUUGACCUACUGACGAUCGAAUCCACCAAGUCCCUGAGUUGUGCAAAGGAGGUGGCAUGAGCCUGCUCUCCUAGUUUUUGCAGUGUUGAUGACAAAUCAACCCUCCAGGCCAGGGUGCCACUCGAAUGCACCGUCCAUUGCAGACAGGGCAUGACCAAUAAAUAACUGUCCACUGCCAAACUGGGCUCUUGGAGCCGGGUGCCCGUUCUCUGGGUCUUGUGGUUGCAGAGUUAGGGAGGAGCAAAGGUUGUCUGCACAGAUUUCAUUCCCUCAUUGACUGAAGUGCUGCCUGUGUGGGAAGUUCCUCUAUCACCUGCUCCCCUUGCCUUUCAACGUGGACGGGAUUUUGGCCAGGGGGUUAAAUGUUGAACAGGGCAAUCGUUUGAAUGUUAUUGUCACCUCAGUGUCGUAUUUCUCACAAGUGAAAGAUUACUGCAGCAGGAAGAUUCUUGUAUCUUGCCAGCUCAUACAAGGAUUUCUUUUACAACUGUAAAGUUACAAUCAUCUAGAAUGUAAAACAAUUGUACAAUGUCAAAUGUGCAAUUUAAUCAUAUCUGUGUAUAGGUCGCAUCGCUGACUAACGUAGCACUGGUGUAAAAGCCUUAUUUGUCACUUCAAGCCUUGGUUGUGAGCAUCAAACGGUACAAUCUUGUCAGCUGCACAUGAAACAUUUGCUUGCAAGCUCAUGGCCAAGCUAAUGCAUUUCCCUUUCUCACCAGUUGUUUCUCCUGGCUGAGAAUGGAUAGCAUUAGGUUUGGGCCUGGAGAAGUGUUUAGAAGUAUGUCUUCUGGACAUGGGCACUAAGCUGAAGGAGAUUGAUAGAACAAGAGCCUUUGGAGAGUUGGAGAUGAUGACGGAGAGAUGAAAAUUGAUUGUGUGAAAUGGAAAUGGCCUUGAAUGCCUGGUUUUUAAGUCUAGUUAGAUCAAUCAUUGCUGUCCACAUUGCUGUGAUUUUUUAAAAAUAGUACACACCCACUCAUUCUCACUGCAGGCCUUGUGGUCAUAAACAAUAUUACAAACUAGCGGCCGACAUAAUCAUUGCAAUAGCCAAAGUUGAAGUUACUGUGGUCAUUUAUGUAGCCUGAGGAAAAGUGAUUGGGUGUUGCUGUUUUGGUCACCAGUAUUUUUUUAUUUUCCUCAUCAGUUCCCUCGUGCACUGACUGCAUUGGCAAGCCUCUUGCCUUGGCUGGGUUGUUGUUUUGUGGUAGUGGUUGACGGAAGGAACAGUUGUACUGUUCAAGGCUCCUCUUGCUUUGCUGAAUGCAAGAGGAAUUCUGUCUGAAAUAGGACGAAUUUAGGCAACGAUCAUUGUGAGGUGGGAUGUCGUGUUGACAAUUUCAGUUAUUCAUACAAACUGAGACACAGAGGAUCUUUUUCUAAAUGUUGUUAGUGUGUCAAUUGGAGCAGGAGGAAUUUGAGUUACUGUUGAAAGUUCCUAAUGUCACCCGUAUCUAAAACCUUCAUAAUGUCGGGAAUGAUUCUUGCACUGAAAGGUGCAAUACACCAGUAAUUAGGGCUAAGUGUUGAAUUCUCAACAUGCCCUGAACAAGAGCUCAGUUGUUAUGGUGCACUACAUAGUAUUUUCUCAUCAAAUUUCUUGUGCACACUAUUGGAAAGAAUUUAGUGCUGCAAAGGCCGCUUCUCGAAGACUGAAGGUUUUCAACCUCUUUGCCUGAAAAAUCCUUGUUUCUGAUCUACGCAAGGCAAAAGACAUUUUUAAUAUCAAGACGCUUUGAGUCAUUUUUAUCACAAUGCUUUCCCCUUGGUUACUUGGCCAUUGGCGUCAAUAAUGUCCACAGAAACAAAUAAUCUUCACGAUGUUCUGUGGCAGUAGGAACCCUUGGGAAUGCAGUGCUCUGAGCCGUUAGGGAAUAAUGGAGGGUCGAGAGUUCCAAUCUACCUUGCUGCUACCUGAUAUCCCUCGCCCACAGCCAAAUCCUCCCAUGAGCCAAAGAAUCUCCAACCCAUCCCACACCAAGUAAUGAAUGCAAAUUACUGCAGAUGCUGGAAAUCUGAAAUACAAGCAGAAAGUGCUGGUGAAACUCAGCAGAUCUGGCAGCUUCUCUGAAGACAGAAACAGAAUUAACAUUUUGAGUCAGUUAUGACACUUCAGUUCUGAAGAAUAAUCAAAUUCAUCUUGAAACGGUAACUGUGUUUCUCUCUCCACAGAUGCUGGAUAUUGCUCCCUGUGCUAAUUCAAUGAUAGCAAUCCUAUUAAUGUUUUGUGAUUGUUGGGUAUUGGUAGUCCAUUGAUUUUAAAUGUUGAAUUCUAUUAAUGCCCAUUAAUCCAGUCAGGUACCCAGAAGUAAUACGAAGCAAAAUUGUAUUGAUUCAGUUGUCCAAUCAUGAUCUGCAACCUUUAGUGGUACCAAUCAAAAUUACAGCAACUCCGUACCAGGUGCUGAAUGUUUUUAAAUUUUGAAGUGUUUGGAGUUCAUGGAAAACAUGCAAUAUUUGCUGCUUUCACUGGCAUGCUCUACAACCAUAAAUCUGAUAUAGAUUUUGUGAAGUUUUUCAUUGGGAAGCAGGGACUUGUUAUUAUCACUGGGUGUUUUUUAGCUGCCUGAGGAACAAACAAAAAAGUCAUGUUGCAAUCUGAGACAAUCCAAGCCCAGAGCCAUUGCAUGACGGUAAAGCUGUCCCUGAUAGUCUAGUUGGCUGUUGAUUCCUGGUCCAGGAUUUAAAUGAAACACGAACAGGAGUGAAGCUCUGUGUUGAUUCUGAAGGCCUUUGGAAUGGGUAAGCCCUGGUCAAGUGGUAUUGGCUCUGAACAUGAAGCAGAAGGCACUCAUUGUGUUCCCCACGGUAGUGUGGGGAAUAUUGGUGCUUUCCUCCUGUUUUAUGUCCUGCCCAUUAGCCUAAGGAAGACGCUAUAUAGAUAUGCAGGAUGGGGGUAUACUAAUUUAGAUACAUUUUACACUCUCCUUACGUAUGUCUUUCUGCUUCCAUUCUCUCCACCCAUUCCCAACCAUGUGUUCAUGCAUCCCUAAUUCCUGUCUGUGACUUCAUGCUUACACUGCUGUGAAUUUGAAUGUGAAAUGCAGUUGUGUUGCAGAGUUAGAAUGCCAGUGUGCAUUCUUGUGCAAACCUGAUUUUCUUCUCUGCAUCUUUGGCUGUGCCUUUACCUACCUGGAUCCAGACUUCUGGACUCUCUCCCUAAAAUUUCUUCUUGUCCUCCCUCCUUUUGAGGCAGUCUUUAAAACCUACUUCUUUGGCCAAACUUUUUCUGUUGUCGUAAUAUCUCUUUCAUGUUGGUCAGUAUCUUUGCAAACUGUUCCUGCAAAGCACCUUGUGAUAUUUUGCCUGUCCAGUGAUGUCAACAAUAGGGUUCUUACCCUUUAUUGCUAGUGCGUUAAAGGUUAAGCUAAGGUCUUGUGACACAGUUGUAGUGCUCCUGCCUCUGGGCCAGGAGGUCCCAGUUCAAGUCCCAACUGCUCCAUGGGUACGCACUGCAGAAUUUCACUAAGGCUCCUCGGACAGCACCUUCCAAACUCACGAUCAUUUCCAUCUCAAAGGAUAAGAGUAGCUGAUACCGCUAUCUUCUGUAAGUUUUCCCCAAAGCGCCUCACCAUUCCGACUUGGAAGUAUACUGCAGUCCUUUCACUGUCACUAGGUCAAACUCCUGUCUGUCUUCACUAACUGAGCUGUAGCAGUACAUGAAGGCAACUCACCACCACUUUCACCAAGAUAAUUAGGAAUGGGCAAUAAAUGCCAGCAAAGCCCACACCCCCUCAUUUUAAAAAAUAACUGACCUCUGAAAUGGCCAGGCCAAAAAUUAAGUUCAAGAGCAAUUAGGGAACGGGCAACACGCGCUUUCCAGUGCGUUCAACAUCCUGUGAAAGAACUGAAGCCAUGCAUAGACCCAUUGGACAUCAGUCUGUAGAUCCCAAUUCCACACUGCACCCCGAGAGACACAGGAGAAUGUGGACAGUGAGGAGACAUUGUGCAUCCUCAUCGAGUCCAAUGUUCUCAAAUCUGUCACAGAGGUGGAAUGUAAAUCCAGAGAGAUGAUAGCUUAUCUCUAAAGCCUUGAAAAUAUGUUUUGUACGUUUAUUUGAUCAUGGUCUAAGAAUUGACAUAGAUUAGAUUAACUAAGUAAAAUUAUGGUGGAGCUAGGCACUUCUUAAUUAUUCACAGUUUAACAUAUUUGUUAUUGACUGCCUGUUCAGGGGUUGAUUUUGUGACAUGGUAUUGAUCAGUUGAAGUAUUAUUGAUUUGCUGUGCUCACCUGCCUACAUUAGCACAGGCACUGUCCAGAGGAGCUACUGAAAUAUUAACACUUCCAUGUGCCCUUAGAGUUGCUGGUGAGUGGUCCAGCUAUAAUCACACUCUGGGUGUGUUUCCUCUCAAAGCAGCAGCGGUAGAAAAGGCAGAAUCAGUGGAAUUUGGACUGGGGAGGUGUAAAUCGCCUCGAGGCGUUUCCAGGCAGUUAAUCUACAAAAAUGCUAAAAGAGUACAGUAUGGAUCUACUUGAGCAAUGGGCUCUGACGCCCACAGUGCUCUUGUCGGUAAAUGCACCAGAAUUAAUCCAGAUCAGGACAGUAUCCGGUUUAGUCCCAGGCUUCUGAAUAGAUAGUUGAUGCUACAUUGGCCUUUACAUGGGAUUGGUGGGGGUGGGAGUAGCGACUGAAUGUUGACUGUUUUCAAAGCAUAUCACGGAUUUAUUUUCACACAGUUUGAUAGGUAGUUUUUCAGGUAAUGGUUGAUAUUCUCAAAUGGGCCUCCUUGGAUUCCAAAGGCAGUCCCAGGCUGGGUGUAUUGAUUGAAAGGGACACUGAAGUGCCUGUUCUCAGUGCUUGUAGCAAAUAACUUGCCUUUCAGUACACCGUACCAUAAUUCUACAUAGGAACCUGUUUUUUCUGGAAAUUUCCAUGUGGCUAAUCACUAGCAGUUAAAAUGGGAUUAUAGUAAACAGUCCUUCAUGGUUACUUGCAGGAAAUACAUGGUUUAAUGUCUCAUGGAGGGCACCUUGUUAGAGUAGAAUAGCCUAGUUACAUGGUGUGCCUAAGGUUCUCUGACUGAAAUUUGUGCUUAGAUAAUCAUAGUGUCAUUGUAAACUGAGCUGCACACCAAUGUGUGUACAUGUCCAAUCCUUGCACUCUGUACCCACUCAGCUGAUCAGUGACUGAUUAAUCUCCCUUCAGUUUUCUAUGCCGUGUUAGUUUGGGUUUUUAGACAAAUUAUAAGCUGUUGACGGAGUAAGUGACUGGCACCUUCACUGUGCCCCUGCAGGGUAUACGUUCAGAAUGAACUUGUGUAGCAAUCCUGCUCUCAGUCUCUGUGGAGAGAGGUGGGAAACAAAAAAUCUACCAGGGAAUGUGUUCUCCAACCCACCAUGGCAGAGAAAUGACAAUAGUGGCAAGAGAGGCUACAGCAUCCUGUGGUUGGGUAACUAAUGGGGAGGAUGGAGUUGGGAAGAAAUCGGAACACCUGCAUUGAGGAGGCAGUGGGGAUUACAGGCCACAGGAAUCUGCUGGUCAAGUCUAGGAUCCGGUGGGAAGUGUUUUUUGUUCUGUUCAUGUUUUGCCUUUUCAUUUACUUUGCACUCUCUUCAUCGAACUCCCUUCCUUUGUAGUUACGUGUUGUAUGUUUGUGGGGUUUUUUUGCUGGGGGGUGGUGGGGUGCGGGUGGGGUAUGGAGCUGAGCAGUGGACAUUUGCCUGGAUAAUGAGCCCAAGUUGUCUACAACCUCCCAAAGUACUGCAGAACCGCACCAAACUUUGGCAUAUCUUUUUGGGUUACAGGAUCCCCCUGGAGUCCUGCCUCUGGAGAGUUGGCAGACACUUGCUCCGAGCGCCCAAUGCCCAGUGGUUUGAUGUCUGAGUGUGCCAUCUUGAUCAUUAAGGGCUCAAGAUUGACACUUGCUACAAAGUUAAGCUCAGCUCUGCCUAACUGUAAUGGAUCUCGGUGUUGGCACGGGUAGGAUCUGUCACAGAUUCUGCUCCUUUAUGGCUGUGUUGGCCAUUUCGUGGGAAGUGAAACCAUCCAUUGCAGGAUUGGCUUGAAUUGUUGAUACAGUCAGACAGUAUGCUGGCACCCACAGCUCACCCUCUGGGAUAUGAAGACCCAGGGCUGAUGGUAGCUGACCCGAGUGAGAGCCAACAUUCAGCACUGUAGCAAGGCAAAUGGGAGACCAUUGAGUGCUCCUUGUUUAUUUCAAUGCCAUGAUGUAAAGCCUCGCCCUUAUGAUAGAAUGUUGCUGGAUGAUGUGUAGGUGACUUUGCAGAGCCAUACCUACCAGCCAAUGUGUCCAAUGUUAAUCUGUGUCUACUAUGAGUUCCGCUAAUAUUGCUGCGACUUUGUUUAAAAAAAAUUCUAGGGUAGUGAAAAAUGUCGGUGCCUGAGUGAUAAUCAGUCCGUUGCUGUACGUGAGCACUUUGCGAAAAAUUCAGAAUUCUGAACUGAAGCGGUAACCAAUCACUUUCCCGUACAGGAGCGGAGGCCCUCACAUUAGACUGGUGUGCCAGAACUUUGUACAAAUUCUUUCCCCUUUUAAUGCCACUGUGAAUGUGUAUAUUCCAACUCUGAGGUGUAAACAUUUAUUGGGAACCAUUUGGAGGAAUGUAUUUGGAUUUUCCUUCCUUUUCAAAUUGUAGUGACUGUAUCCUCGUGAUCAGCCAUUGACAAGGAAAUGGAAGGGGGUGCAGAGAGAGAAAGCAGACGUAAUGAAUGAAUUUUACUGCUUGCUUUUCUCUUUAUCUUAUCUUUUUUAACUGUCUGUAAACACUGUUUUGUGUUGAACUUUUUAAAAAACCUUUUUUAAAGAAACAUCGUGUUUGUGUUAUUCAGACUUCCUCUGAUUUAAUUACAAUCUUCAGUGUUGUAAAGUUGUUAACUGUCCCCAUCCGCUUUUAUUUAAAGGUUUAAUGGGGGUGUGCUGCUUUUGGCAGGUGGAGCAGAUCAGUUCGGUUCUGUGCCAGGGGAGAGUGGAUUUGAUCAUGUCAUUCCACUGGGUUAGAGAGAAGGGAAGGGAAAUAACAACCAGUCAACUUCCAAUACGUAGUCACCAUCCUGUGUGUGUAUUAAAAUCACUGAACCUUGGCUCAGUGUUUGUUUCUGAAUGAGAUGGCUGUGAUAUUUCUCACAAUGUAGGUCAAUGACCCAGUGCACUCUCGGAGGAGUUGUCUCUUGCAUGAGACAUUAAAUGAUCUGAAUCCCCUCUGGUAGAGGUGCUGUUUAUGGAGCAGGCCAUUCUGUUGUCCUGGUGAUUCUACAUCUCUGCUCGAAGCUCAAUUGAGUGUCUGCAAUGGAGAAUUGACUGUCUGUUCAUCUGUCCAACCCUUUUUUUCUCUCUCUCUCCCUCCCUCCCUCUCUCUCUCUCUCUUGCCAAAUAAUUGGGGACCGCUUACUGUCAGUGAGUUUCACCUCCCUAGCAGACAGAUACAUGUGGUGUUUAUAUUGGCAUGAGUCACUUACCCCUUGCUCUCUUCCCUUCUCUCACCUACGCAUGUCAAACCUUCCCUUUACAGGAUCCCUUAUCUCCUUCAGUCACUCGUGUGGCAGAGUUCCAUAUGUUUUCCACAGUCAAAUUCCUGCUAAAUUCUUCGAUCAUCUUGCUGCCUGCUCUACUCUCUCCCACGUGCAGAUCAAUUGCGUUAAAUGUUUGAUGUACUUGUCUUACUCUGCCCCGUUUAAUUUCUUAGAUUCCAAGAAAUGAAUGGCCUCUUUUUUUGUAUUUCCAACCAUAGUGAUCCACUUUGUUCUAUUGAAUUUAAUGUUUACCUAUCUUCCUUCAUUCUGUCACAGUGCUCCAGAUUAUGCUCUAUAACCUGCCCUAUCACCCUUGCCCCCAAGGUUCUGAAACUGUUACGUUAUUGUGAGUAUUAUUGAGACAAUGGGCCAGUAAUGCCGCACUGGACUAGCGAUCCAGAGAUUUGUGCAAAUACUCUGAGGACCCAGGUUCAAAUCCAACCAUGACAGCUGGUAGAAUAUCAGUUCAAUUCAUUUUUAAAAAUCUGGAAUUGAAAACUAGUCUGAGUCUUGCUCACCAUGAGUCUCUCGUCUCUUGUAAAAAAAAAAAUCAAUCUGUUUCACCAAUGUCCUUUACGAAAUCUGCUAUCCUUACUUGUUCUAGCCUACAUGUGACUCCAGACCCAUAGCAAUACUGCUGACUCCUAACUGUCCUCUGAAAUGGCCCAGCAAAACCACUGGGUUCAAGGGCAUUGGGGGUUGGCAAUAAAUACUGGCCUUGCCAAUGACCCCUACAUCAAUGACACAUGCUAAUUUCAGCAGCGCUGCACGUCACAGUUAAUGUAUCUACACUCUGGUGCAUUGUGAACAAAUGCCUUUAACAGUGAGGACUUGGAGCAUCCUGUGGAUCAGAGCCCAGUAAGGAGUCAGCUUUGAGUCAAAAGGAGAAAUUUUAAGGGGAGAGAGAAGUUUUUUUGAAUGUAGGUAUUUGAUUGGAGAGGAGGGAAGGGGAAGAAAACAGCAGCUGUAUGGAAAAAAGGUGAAUGGGACUAAUUGGAUCAUUCAAAAUGUUGGUAUUUGGUUAGGGCUGAAUGGCCUCCUCCUGUGCUGUACAAUUCUGCUAUGCUGGGAUGCGUUGGCAAUAACCUUGCUGCAGAACCUGACACUAUCUGGGCUAAUUGGACAGUCUUAACACUCCUCCAGGCCCACCUCCAAACCACUAUCAGCCUCAGCAGUGUUUGAUGCUGCUUUUGCAAAUUUAUCCAGUGGAGAAGCAUCUUAAACUCCUUUGAAACACUGUCUUCUUCAGCCACCUUCAUAAACCAAACUGCAGUUCUUGCCUCUAUCACACGAUGGUGGUGGUGGUGGAGUUGUAUUUGGAAUGUAGCCAUGAUAUGCUGUAGGCUUGAGUUCCAAAGAUUGAAGACUAACUGGAAUUUCAGUGCUAGGGUCAUCAAUGGUGAGCUGUUCCUGAAGGUUUAAUCACCUGCCUGUCUGUUUGCCUCCCACUGUCCAAUCAAAGAGUCUUUCCUAUCCCCAGAUCCAACCUCAUUGGAAUGACUCAACAGUAUUUAAACCACUGUUUAUAUUCUCCAAAAAUAAAUUGUGCUUUUCCUCCUGGAUAUUGUUUGCAGGAGGGGCAAGCAGAUUUUCCUUAAACUCUCAGAGGCUGUAGGACAAUCCCAGAGGAAUGGCAAUCCUGAAUCAAUAUUGAUUGGAGUUCUGAUCGACUCCUUAGUUUGUCUGAAUCUACGCCUGCUUGCCCCCCCAAUUUUAAUCCUUGUCGAUUACACUGCUAUUUCUCACAGAAGUACUCAUUUCACAUAAUAAAAUCCAUAAUUCAUUUUU